GAUGAACGCUGGCGGUAUGCUUAACACAUGCAAGUCGAACGGACUCUUCGGAGUUAGUGGCGGACGGGUGAGUAACGCGUGAGAAUCUGGCUUUGGGUUCGGGAUAACCACUGGAAACGGUGGCUAAUACCGGAUGUGCCGAGAGGUAAAAGAGAAAUUGCCUGAAGAUGAGCUCGCGUCUGAUUAGCUAGUUGGUGAGGUAAAGGCUCACCAAGGCAGCGAUCAGUAGCUGGUCUGAGAGGAUGACCAGCCACACUGGGACUGAGACACGGCCCAGACUCCUACGGGAGGCAGCAGUGGGGAAUUUUCCGCAAUGGGCGAAAGCCUGACGGAGCAAUACCGCGUGAGGGAAGAAGGCUCUUGGGUUGUAAACCUCUUUUCUUAGGGAAGAACAAAAUGACGGUACCUAAGGAAUCAGCAUCGGCUAACUCCGUG
Molecule: ribosomal RNA, 435 nt
Filed under: uncultured bacterium
Lineage: Bacteria
Description: partial 16S ribosomal RNA
Rfam family: Bacterial small subunit ribosomal RNA
Source: RNAcentral